Non-coding RNA from Odobenus rosmarus divergens (Pacific walrus), 559 nucleotides. Lineage: Eukaryota; Metazoa; Chordata; Mammalia; Carnivora; Odobenidae. The record is from the annotation of a RefSeq genome assembly.
GAGAAGAGACCCAGCCCUGGAUUCCCCAGGUGUUCCCAUUCAGUGAUCAGGAGAGAACACAGAGAACUCACCAUGGAGUUUGCACUUGGCUGGGUUUUCCUUGUUGCUCUUUUAAAAGGUGUCCAGUGUGAGGUGCAGCUGGUGGAGUCUGGGGGAGACCUGGUGAAGCCUGGGGGGUCCCUGAGACUCUCCUGUGCAGCCUCUGGAUUCACCUUCAGCAGCACCUACAUGAACUGGGUCCGCCAGGCCCCAGGGAAGGGGCUGCAGUGGGUCGCAUUUAUUAGCUAUGAUGGAAGUAGCACAUACUACGCAGACUCUGUGAAGGGCCGAUUCACCAUCUCCAGAGACAACGGCAAGAACACGCUCUACCUGCAGAUGAACAGCCUGAGAGCCGAGGACACGGCCGUGUAUUACUGUGCCGAAGAUGUGGAUGUGAUGACACUGUGGGAUUUGAGUCUGAUCAUCACUUUACAGAGUUGUGUUUUACUGAGAGCCCUGAGGUUAAGCCCCUUUGUUCCCUUGCUCCUGCCAGAUUCUUUACUUGUCUGUGCUGUAUUUU